This is a long non-coding RNA of Lutra lutra (Eurasian river otter), 349 nucleotides long. RefSeq lists it as uncharacterized. Lineage: Eukaryota; Metazoa; Chordata; Mammalia; Carnivora; Mustelidae. The transcript is spliced from 3 exons. The record is from RefSeq and is a predicted model, not a curated record.
UGAAGGCAUUAGCUACAGCCAUUUUUUGCCUGGCAAAGUGAUAAAGUAUCUUCCAUCUUUAUACCCAAGCUCUGUCUUUGUAUUAUAUAUUUCGGCUCCGGAGCACAGAAGUCAGUUUGGACAAGACUUUCAGUCAUGGAAGGCUGGGACAUUGUCUAGAGAGGUCCUCAAGACCCAACAGCCUCUACCGGUCUUUCUGUGGCUGCGUCUUUUUUUAUUCCAGUACCAAGACAGCUGCUUCAACUUCAGGCAUCACGGCUGCGUUCUGCUGGGGAGGAAGUAGAGAAGGUCAAAAGGCAAAAAGAGAGAGAGAGAGAGAUCAAAAGUACGCAGAGCAGCUGGCGGAGAG